UAGCUCAGUGGACAGAGCAGCCGCCUUCUAAGCGGAAGGUCGCAGGUUCGAAUCCU
This 56-nucleotide transfer RNA is filed under the name Chloroflexi bacterium RBG_16_69_14. RNAcentral's name for it is "tRNA-Arg". It matches the Rfam family "tRNA", at positions 8 to 61 of the family's 71-position model. From Rfam's summary of the family: Transfer RNA (tRNA) molecules are approximately 80 nucleotides in length. Their secondary structure includes four short double-helical elements and three loops (D, anti-codon, and T loops). The record is from RNAcentral. Lineage: Bacteria; Bacillati; Chloroflexota.